GGCAACCAAUCUGGUUGGUGGAUGGGAGCCCCAGACUCAAUCAACGUGGGGUCGCGGGCGCAGAGAGCAGGGUAGGUGGGAGAGGGGUUCACCCCACCUCGGGACUGCGAAUCUGGGUCUGGAAGUCCGAGAACAUCCAUCUGGAAAGGGAUCUUUGCCAUCUUCUCUAGCUUCUGUUUUACACAUGGGGAAACUGAGGCUUACGGAAGAGCCUGGUAGCUUCCCCACGGUGGAAGGUGGUGAGCCGUCGUAAACCAUGAGUGAGCUGAAAUCAAGAGGAAGCAGAGGGCUUCCCUGGUGGCGCAGUGGUUGAGGAUCUGCCUGCUAAUGCAGGGGACACGGGUUUGAGCCCUGGUCUGGGAGGAUCCCACAUGCUGCGGAACAACUAGGCCCGUGAGCCACAACUGCUGAGCCUGCGCGUCUGGAGCCCGUGCUCCACAACAAGAGAGGCCGCGAUAGUGAGAGGCCCACGCACCGCGAUGAUGAGUGGCCCCCGCUUGCCACAACUAGAGAAAGCUCUCGCACAGAAACGAAGACCCAACACAGCCAUAAAUAAAUUAAUUAAUUAAUAAACUCCUACCCCCAACAUCUUAAACAAAAAAAAAAAAAAAAAAGAGGAAGCAGAAACCAAGAGCUGAUAGAAGCUAUGCAGUGGCAGCUGUGAGGUCAGGUGGGGCAAGGAUGAAAUGUAUAAAAGUUGAAAUCAGAAGGAAACAGAAACCAUCAAUUAGCAAAAGCUUCAGAAAGGCAGCGAAAGUCAGUCAACCGCAAGAGGAGAACAAAGGCAGACGGCAGUGCAGCCACAUGAAUAGGGGUCAUCGGAAAGAGCCCCAAGUCCCUGCUGCCUGAGUGUCCCUUGAAGACUCAACAACCUUCCGGUUCCAGCUGUCUGGAUCCUUAAUACAACUCGUUCUUAAAGUCUGUGGCAUUUUGCCUCCCUUAUCGUUCCAUGUGAAUCCUUAUAAUAAACUCCCUAUUAUUUGAGCUGGUCUGAGUGUGUCUCUGUUCCUGGAACCAAGAGAACAGACCUGGAACCGGAGGUGGUACGAGGACUGGGGGCUCGGCUACACCAAGCAGCUUCACUAAAGAUGUGCACUAGAGCCCACCUGCAGGUUUGCAUCAGCGCCUGGAUACUCUGGAAGAAGCCAACUUCCUUCUUGUCCUUCAGAGCGCCAUCAGGCAUUCCUCGAUGACGUCGCGCUGCGCCUUGGUGAGCGAUCGGCCGCGGGACAGGCGGUACACCGUGUGAAGCAUGGAGUCCACCAUGAUGGCGCGAUGCUCGGUUCCCGCAAAGAGGGGCGCACACUUGGUGAUGAGCGGCAGCACCGCCAGGCACAGCACCUAAAAAGGACUUAGCAGGCUUCCCUGGUGGCGCAGUGGUUAAGAAUCCACCUGCCAGUGCAGGGAACAUGGGUUGGAGCCCUGGUCCGGGAAGAUCCCACAUGCCGCAGAGCAACUAAGUGAGUGCACCACAACUACCCAGACUGUGCUCUAGAGCCCACGAGCCACAACUACUGAGCCCGUGUGCCGCAACUACUGAAGCCCGUGCGCCUGGAACCCGUGCUCCGCAACAAGAGAAGCCACCGCAAUGAGAAGCCUGCGCAGCGCAACGAAGAGUCGCCCCCACUCGCUGCAACUACAGAAAGCCCACGUGC
Long non-coding RNA from Globicephala melas (long-finned pilot whale), 1655 nucleotides. RefSeq lists it as uncharacterized. The record is from RefSeq and is a predicted model, not a curated record. Lineage: Eukaryota; Metazoa; Chordata; Mammalia; Artiodactyla; Delphinidae.